UUCAGUUUCAUUUUCUCGGAAAACUGAGCUGAGUGUGAAGCAGAGAGGAAACCCUGAGAUACACACAACUUUAAUCAGCUCUAUCUGAAGCUAGAAGUGUAAAUAAAGAAAGUCAUACUAGUCAUACACCAGCAAAUGGAGAUUCAGACAGAUGAAGAUUCAGCUAAAAAGGAUCAGAUGCCUGGUCUGAAUCAGGUCACAAACCAAGACCAACCACUGAUGAAAUUCAGCACUGCUGAAGACGCACAGGUUGUUUAAAAGAGUUACUGUAAUUAACAGCACAUAUUUCUGCCUAAUCAAUCACCUAUCACGGCAAAUCAAAAUAUACCUCUUCUAAUCAAUACAAAUCACAUCUAAACAACACUAAUCUUUACUAAUUCCAUCUAAUCAAUACUAAUCAAUGCAAAUGAAAUCUCCCUAAUACUUAUCAUAUUGAGUUGUGUUCGGGUAAUAACUCGGCUGUUCACCUACCACAUGAAAGCAUUAAAGCUUUAAAGUUAAACACAGUGUGUCACUCUGAAAUGUAUGCUUUGUCUGUAAAUACACUCAAACACAUUAUGAGAUAUAAAAUAAACAUGUAUCAUUCUAAAAGGCGUAACACUGGAUUGGGCCGCCCUUUGCUCAGGUCAUAAUGGUCUGAAUCCUACUGAAUGUUGGAAACGUUCGUUUAAGAUUCCGGUCGAUGUGGUUAUGACUGCAGUCUGUGAUUCCUGCAGGAUUUUCAGGUUCAUCAUCACGCUGUGAAUUUCUGCUUCCACCACAUAUAUACUGGAAUCAUGUUUGAUUGAUUACACAAUUGAUUAAGUAAAUAAUUGAGUGAUUAAGUUGGUGUACUUAUGUUCGUUAUAAAGUGGUCCAUAAGUGUAAAUUACACUGUUCAUUACUUAAUAAUAAUAUCCUUUCAGAUUUCCAAAACUAAAAGGACUAGACAUAUCACUUAUCUUGAGCAGUGAAUUUGUAUGAAUAAAAUGAGCUUUACAUGGCGCACCCUGUAUACAACCCGGCCUAUACACUGUAUACGAUCAUUAUUUGAUUGUCUUCUUUUUAAUGUUACUAUUAGUGUUAAAUUUGACACUAAAUGAGUACAAGGCUUAAAGUCAGCUCUAAACUGACUUUAAACAGCAAGAACUAUUUUCACAUUAAAACUGAUUUAACUUUGGGACUUAAGUUGCUGAUUAAUGU
Long non-coding RNA from Clarias gariepinus (North African catfish), 1182 nucleotides. RefSeq lists it as uncharacterized. The record is from RefSeq and is a predicted model, not a curated record. Lineage: Eukaryota; Metazoa; Chordata; Actinopteri; Siluriformes; Clariidae. The transcript is spliced from 3 exons.